This 253-nucleotide ribosomal RNA is filed under the name uncultured bacterium. RNAcentral's name for it is "partial 16S ribosomal RNA". It matches the Rfam family "Bacterial small subunit ribosomal RNA", at positions 524 to 776 of the family's 1533-position model. The record is from RNAcentral.
UACGUAGGGUGCGAGCGUUAAUCGGAAUUACUGGGCGUAAAGUGUGCGCAGGCGGUUUUGUAAGCCAGAUGUGAAAUCCCCGGGCUCAACCUGGGAAUGGCAUUUGGGACUGCAAGGCUUGAGUGCGGCAGAGGAGACUGGAAUUCCUGGUGUAGCAGUGAAAUGCGUAGAUAUCAGGAGGAAUACCGAUGGCGAAGGCAGGUCUCUGGGCUGACACUGACGCUCAUGCACGAAAGCGUGGGGAGCAAACAGG